This 429-nucleotide ribosomal RNA is filed under the name uncultured bacterium. RNAcentral's name for it is "bacterial SSU rRNA". It matches the Rfam family "Bacterial small subunit ribosomal RNA", at positions 355 to 796 of the family's 1533-position model. The record is from RNAcentral.
UCGAGAAUAUUUGGCAAUGGGCGAAAGCCUGACCAUGCGACGCCGCGUGCUGGACGAAGUCCUUCGGGACGUAAACAGCUUUUGCGCGUGAGGAAGUAAUUGACGUUAGCGCGCGAAUAAGGGGCUCCUAACUCUGUGCCAGCAGGAGCGGUAAUACAGAGGCCCCGAGCAUUAUCCGGAAUCACUGGGCGUAAAGGGUGCGUAGGCGGUCGUGUUAGUCCUUCGUGAAAGAUUUCGGGCUUAACCCGGAAGGCGCGCGGGAAACGGCACGACUCAGAGGACGCGAGAGGUCAAGGGAACUCAUGGUGUAGGGGUGAAAUCCGUUGAUAUCAUGGGGAACACCAAAUGCGAAGGCACUUGACUGGCGCGCUCCUGACGCUGAAGCACGAAAGCGUGGGUAGCGAAUGGGAUUAGAUACCCCCGUAGUCC